This 421-nucleotide ribosomal RNA is filed under the name Holothuria leucospilota. Its description in RNAcentral is "partial 16S ribosomal RNA". It matches the Rfam family "Bacterial large subunit ribosomal RNA", at positions 1982 to 2610 of the family's 2925-position model. The record is from RNAcentral. Lineage: Eukaryota; Metazoa; Echinodermata; Holothuroidea; Aspidochirotida; Holothuriidae.
GGAGACCUGUAUGAACGGCAAAACCUUUUCAAACUGUCUCCCUCCCUAACCUUUUAAACUCCUUUUUACGCGAAGAAGCGUGAAUACAUCAGAAAGACGAGAAGACCCUGUCGAGCUUCAGCCAAUAAGUGAGCCAACAAAACCUAUGUGUUAGCAUCACCCAAAGGCUUUGGUUGGGGUAACCAUGGAGAACAUUAAUCCUCCAGAACAAGCAGACGAACUCUCUUCCCUACUAAACGAGCUAAAGAACCAGGAACUGGUAAUCGGAAAAAGUUACCGCAGGGAUAACAGCGUCAUCCCCUUUAAGAGUCCUUAUUGACAAGGGGGUUUGCGACCUCGAUGUUGGAUUGGGGCCCCCUUAGGGUGCAGAAGCUCUAAACGGUUAGACUGUUCGUCUAUUAAAGCCCUACGUGAUCUGAGU